Molecule: microRNA precursor, 84 nt
Filed under: Canis lupus familiaris (dog)
Lineage: Eukaryota; Metazoa; Chordata; Mammalia; Carnivora; Canidae
Also listed under: 1 other name
Description: mir-8799 microRNA precursor family
Rfam family: mir-8799 microRNA precursor family
Source: Rfam by way of RNAcentral
GGGGGGAGGUCGGAUCCUGGGCUGUGUCCCCCGCGCCCAGUGCUCCCGGGCGCUGGAUUCGGGCUCCCGGCCGGGCAGCCCCUU